ACAUUCACUAUUUCUUAGCCAUGUCCAUGAGGUUUAGUUCUAUUAGAAAUUCAAGGUUCGUCGUAUCAGUACUGGACUCGUACCGGUGCCACACUAGCAUAGUGUCGGUAUGGUAUGGUAUGGCGUUUUUUUGGUGUACCGAAGGUCGUUCGCCACCCAUACCGAUACUGGUACCAGUACCGAACCGGUACAGUACGAUACAUCCGGUACACUCGGUAUGGUACAGUAUGGUACGGCAUACUAUGAUUAGAAUAUAAACAUAUUAAUUGACAUGCAUGCAUGACCUCCAUAUCCAGCACAUACUCAACAUGGAUAUCUCAAUCCAAAGCAUUUGUCUUCUGUUUUUAACUUUACUAAGCCACUAGGAUCUAAUACCAAAUCUUUAUCCACGUUAAUAUCCAGUAUCGUAGUUAGCCAGCAUUCUCUGACAGAAAUCAAAGACGCCGCUGAUAGAAUUUGACUAAGCUUGGUCUUGCAGAUAGGUAGGAAAAAGUUUGUUGAUUUAUGUUUCACAAGUUAGAUUCAAUAUCACAUCCUUAAAGUUGCAAGAUAAAACGUAAGCAGUAAAACGGGAACAAAAUUGAACACUACACUUUGUAGCUAAUACUUAGAGGCAGCUUCCAGCCUAAUCAAAAUACUACUGAUCUCAUAAAUAUUUCUUCUUUCACUGACUGAAUUAGAUUCUUUAGACUAGAAUCAACAAAUAAUAAAUACAUUUAAAAUUGGUAAGACAUCAUCUGAUUUGGUGCCUCUUGAAUGCCUUUCUGGCAAGCAGAAAAUAACUUCUACCUCACCACACUAGAGAGGUUUAGUGCAAAACUUUUAAAACUAACUUUGUCUAAAUUCAGUCUCUGAUGGCAUGUAAAGACUUAAAUUUUAGAUUUCCAUAAGAAUGAAAAGUUUUAAAAAGAAUGUUCCGCACGUUAAUGAAUUUAGACAAAAUAUCAUUGUGUCUUUCUGCAUACUAUAAUGAUAUUUUCCAUACCAGUUAUAAUGUUAAAAAUAUGAAGGAUCAACAGUUUGUUCCUUGAUCCCAAUUUUUGAAGAGCAAUAAUAAACUAAUUGUGUUGUCAAAGAACGGAAGCAUUUCGUAUGGAAAACCUAAAAGCUGCCUCUUCUGUGCUUUAAAGCAAACUUUAGGCCUAGGUUGUAAGCCAGGUAUGGAAUUCCUCCCCCCUCAAUAUGUAGUAUAAGUUUUAUCUUUCAUCAUGGCUCAAGAAGGAAUCUAGAUA
This 1232-nucleotide long non-coding RNA is filed under the name Phoenix dactylifera (date palm). Its description in RNAcentral is "long non-coding RNA (PDAC_LNC015323)". Lineage: Eukaryota; Viridiplantae; Streptophyta; Magnoliopsida; Arecales; Arecaceae. The record is from RNAcentral.